This 18-nucleotide small nuclear RNA is filed under the name Arabidopsis thaliana (thale cress). RNAcentral's name for it is "snRNA_01781". The record is from RNAcentral. Lineage: Eukaryota; Viridiplantae; Streptophyta; Magnoliopsida; Brassicales; Brassicaceae.
CCCAAAUGUAGACAAAGC